RNAcentral lists this long non-coding RNA (230 nucleotides) under Brassica napus (rape). Its description in RNAcentral is "long non-coding RNA (BNAP_LNC013959)". The record is from RNAcentral. Lineage: Eukaryota; Viridiplantae; Streptophyta; Magnoliopsida; Brassicales; Brassicaceae.
GAUCAUAAAGUUUAAAAAGGAAAUGUGGAAUCGUAGAGAGUUAUGAGAUUGUCACAGGAGCCACCGCACCCAGGAGGACCACGUCGACCUCGUCGCCACCAUUCGCAGAAACCGCUAUCCCGUUAGUUUAAUUUUUGAUCGUUUAGUAACUCGUCAAUAAUUUCUUAAAAUCUCGUGCAUGCAAGACCACAAUUAUCUUUCCCUCGUCGAAAAGAAGCCGUAGCCGUCGA